RNAcentral lists this unclassified non-coding RNA (351 nucleotides) under uncultured Orbiliales. Its description in RNAcentral is "sequence contains ITS1". The stretch from base 1 to 105 matches the Rfam family "5.8S ribosomal RNA", at positions 50 to 154 of the family's 154-position model. The record is from RNAcentral. Lineage: Eukaryota; Fungi; Ascomycota; Orbiliomycetes; Orbiliales.
GAAACGCGAUAGUUAAUGUGAAUUGCAGAAUUCAGUGAAUCAUCGAGUCUUUGAACGCACAUUGCGCCUUUUGGUAUUCCGAGAGGCACGCCUGUCUGAGCGUCAGUAAACAUCUUCGGCAGCAAUUUAUUUUUGCGGCCGGUGUUGGCGGUGGACUACCUGGGGACGCCCUUAGCAGGUGAAUCCGGGUGCCCCCCCUAAAUACACUGACAGCCGGGGGCAAGGGACCCAACCGACAAUAAUAGCAAUAUGUUUGUCCAAGGUGACCCUUCGCCCAGCCGGCUCCCAAAAAACUAGGACCCGAUCCUGAUUUUUGACCUCAGAUCAGACGAGGAUACCCGCUGAACUUAA